This 120-nucleotide ribosomal RNA is filed under the name Neofusicoccum parvum. Lineage: Eukaryota; Fungi; Ascomycota; Dothideomycetes; Botryosphaeriales; Botryosphaeriaceae. The record is from RNAcentral. RNAcentral also lists the same sequence under 1 other name.
ACAUGCGGCCACAGCACGUGGAAUAUAGACGAUCCCGUUCGCUCUCGUGAACUCAAGCCUCGUUGCGGCGGAUUAGUAGUCAAGUGGGUGACCAUUGGCGAAUCCCCGCUGCUGCAUGUU